UUUUUUCCUCGGCAGAAGUCCUUUGUUUUAGAUCAGAACCCGACGGAACCAACGGUUCAGGUCCUUCCGCGGGAAAACUCUGAACGAGCGCUCGCGGUUCGUUGCCUACUCGUAGCUCAGCUUCAUUUCGGUUUCGGCUUGGGUUCUGAUCCGCUGAGAUCUUAGAGCAGAAAUUACCACAACGUCACGAUGAAGGCACUUAUUCUUGUUGGAGGAUUUGGAACACGUUUGAGGCCAUUGACCCUCAGUGUCCCCAAGCCACUUGUUGACUUUGCUAAUAAACCCAUGAUCCUGCAUCAGAUAGAAGCUCUUAAGGCUAUCGGAGUGAAGGAAGUAGUUCUGGCAAUCAAUUAUCAGCCAGAAGUAAUGUUGAAUUUCUUGAAAGAAUUUGAGGAGAAGCUUGGGAUCAAGAUCACUUGCUCUCAGGAGACCGAACCACUUGGAACAGCUGGCCCUCUAGCCCUUGCAAGGGAAAAACUAGUAGAUGAGUCAGGCGAGCCAUUUUUUGUCCUGAAUAGUGAUGUUAUCAGCGAGUACCCACUUAAAGAAAUGAUCGAAUUCCACAAGAGUCAUGGAGGAGAGGCUUCAAUCAUGGUGACAAAGGUUGAUGAGCCUUCCAAAUAUGGUGUGGUGGUCAUGGAAGAGUCCACCGGGAAAGUUGAGAAGUUUGUGGAGAAACCAAAACUAUUUGUCGGCAACAAAAUCAAUGCCGGAAUUUACCUGUUAAACCCCUCUGUUCUGGACAAAAUUGAACUGAGGCCAACAUCAAUUGAGAAAGAAGUGUUUCCUAAAAUUGCAGCAGAGCAACAGCUUUAUGCAAUGGUACUGCCAGGGUUCUGGAUGGACAUUGGACAACCAAAAGAUUAUAUUACAGGACUAAGGCUCUAUCUGAACUCCUUGAGGAAGAACUCGUCAUCAAAGUUGGCUGUAGGGUCUCACAUCGUAGGAAAUGUUCUGGUGGACGAGACUGCUAAGAUUGGUGAAGGAUGUCUGAUUGGGCCAGAUGUUGCCAUUGGUCCUGGUUGUGUUGUUGAGGCAGGAGUUAGGCUAUCUCGAUGCACUGUAAUGCGCGGAGUGCGCAUCAAGAAGCACGCUUGCAUAUCGAGCAGCAUCAUAGGUUGGCACUCUACAGUCGGGCAAUGGGCACGUGUAGAGAACAUGACAAUACUAGGAGAAGACGUUCAUGUGGGUGAUGAAAUUUACAGUAAUGGUGGAGUUGUGUUGCCGCACAAAGAAAUCAAAUCUAGCAUUUUGAAGCCUGAAAUAGUCAUGUAAAGGUGUGUGUGUAUUUGCACCUUAGUGGAAUCCUUUUUGAGAGCUGAAACGUAACGUUGUCGUGAGUGGACUUUACUAGUUUUAUUUUUUUUUUUCUUCCUCUUCAUGGGCCUUAAUGUCAGUGUCUGCUAGUUCAAGUUCUGUGAGUGAAGGGUCAAUCUCCCCUUUCAAGGGCGUUUCUUCUCGUGGUCAUACUAUGUAAUAUUUUUGUGUACAUACGGAAAUAAUUUAUCGAUUAAUGUUUCAAUUUCUUUUUCUGAAA
This is an RNA transcript of Cucurbita moschata (crookneck pumpkin), 1537 nucleotides long. It is a transcript of the gene named mannose-1-phosphate guanylyltransferase 1, with no coding region annotated. The transcript has 6 exons. The record is from RefSeq and is a predicted model, not a curated record. NCBI's taxonomy places the organism in Eukaryota, Viridiplantae, Streptophyta, Magnoliopsida, Cucurbitales, Cucurbitaceae.